CCUACGGGUGGCAGCAGUGAGGAAUAUUGGUCAAUGGGCGCAAGCCUGAACCAGCCAAGUAGCGUGAGGGAUGACGGCCCUACGGAUUGUAAACUUCUUUUAUAAGGGAAUAAAGUGUGGCACGUGUCCUUUUUUGUAUGUACUUUAUGAAUAAGGAUCGGCUAACUCCGUGCCAGCAGCCGCGGUAAUACGGAGGAUCCGAGCGUUAUCCGGAUUUAUUGGGUUUAAAGGGUGCGUAGGCGGCUUUUUAAGUCAGUGGUGAAAGUUUGUGGCUCAACCAUAGAAUUGCCGUUGAUACUGGGAGGCUUGAGUAUAUUUGAGGUAGGCGGAAUGCGUGGUGUAGCGGUGAAAUGCUUAGAUAUCACGCAGAACCCCGAUUGCGAAGGCAGCCUGCCAAGCCGUGACUGACGCUGAUGCACGAAAGCGUGGGGAUCAAACAGGAUUAGAUACCCGUGUAGUC
This 460-nucleotide ribosomal RNA is filed under the name uncultured bacterium. RNAcentral's name for it is "partial 16S ribosomal RNA". It matches the Rfam family "Bacterial small subunit ribosomal RNA", at positions 338 to 795 of the family's 1533-position model. The record is from RNAcentral.